Molecule: small nucleolar RNA, 124 nt
Filed under: Charadrius vociferus (killdeer)
Lineage: Eukaryota; Metazoa; Chordata; Aves; Charadriiformes; Charadriidae
Source: RNAcentral
CUUCGGUGAUGAUAAGAUGACGAGUCAGAAAUGGGUGGCUCUUGUUUCUGUGGUGCUGUGCUAAGACUGCCUUGGGCAGGAUGUCCUACUCAUUGGAUGAUUUAGAGGCAUUUGUCUGAGAAGG